AAGUCGUAACAAGGUUUCCGUAGGUGAACCUGCGGAAGGAUCAUUAACACGUAUCCAAACGUUAAAACCCCCCCCGUGAACAUUCAAUCCUGCUCUUGUAACCCGCGGCGCUUGCAAUCUCUGGUAAAUCAAUGUGGGAGGAAAGCAGUUUGAUUCAGAGACCUCUGGCCCGUGAGAAAAUUGGAACAGUUACAAUUCGAGCGGUAGGUUUAUAGGCCUUGUUUCCCCAAGCAGUCAGUGUCUGAAAGCGUCAUUGAUUGUGCAAGGAUAGCGCUUCACGAUUCCUGUAGACCGUACACUCGGGCAGGAGCUAGGCCAAAGGGUCACCAUGCCCCCUUACAACCCCACAGUUUAUUGCAAAGCUCAAUGUAAUACAUUGGGUAAAAAAACUUGAACAACGUGUUAACAAUGGAUAUCUUGGUUCUC
This 426-nucleotide unclassified non-coding RNA is filed under the name fungal sp. RNAcentral's name for it is "partial internal transcribed spacer region". The stretch from base 1 to 46 matches the Rfam family "Eukaryotic small subunit ribosomal RNA", at positions 1786 to 1831 of the family's 1831-position model. Lineage: Eukaryota; Fungi. The record is from RNAcentral.